GCCUCAUUGCAGCCGAGAAAGCAAGAUGGUUCACCAGCAGCUGUACUGGAGCCAUCCAAAAAAAUUUGGUCAUGGUUCUCGCUCUUGCCGCAUCUGCUCAAACCGGCACAGUACAAUCCAGAAAUAUGGCCUCAAUAUGUGCUGCCAGUGUUUCCUCCAGUACAUGAAGGACAUCAGCUUCAUUAAGUUGGACUAAGUGAACUUCCUUGAAUGGGUCAUCCAGGACAUCUACCUUAUGCAGGCACAAUGCUAGCUCUUUGUAUAUAAAAUAAAAAAUUUAAA
Molecule: RNA transcript, 282 nt
Organism: Aethalodelphis obliquidens (Pacific white-sided dolphin)
Lineage: Eukaryota; Metazoa; Chordata; Mammalia; Artiodactyla; Delphinidae
Gene name: 40S ribosomal protein S29 pseudogene
Exons: 1
Source: RefSeq, a predicted model, not a curated record